Molecule: ribosomal RNA, 253 nt
Filed under: uncultured bacterium
Lineage: Bacteria
Description: partial 16S ribosomal RNA
Rfam family: Bacterial small subunit ribosomal RNA
Source: RNAcentral
GACGAACCGAGCGAACGUUGUUCGGAAUCACUGGGCUUAAAGGGCGCGUAGGCGGGUGCUCAAGUCCGCGGUGAAAUCCUCCGGCUCAACCGGAGAACUGCCUCGGAUACUGGGCGUCUCGAGUGUGGUAGGGGUAUGCGGAACUAUCGGUGGAGCGGUGAAAUGCUUAGAUAUCGUCAAGAACACCGAUAGUGUAGACAGCUUACUAGGCUUCAACUGACGCUGAGGCACGAAAGUGUGGGGAUCAAACAGG